UAGAAAACGCGUUUCACUGAAGAAUUAGAAAUAUUGAAUGAAAAUACAUGUGUCUGCAGCCUGCUUGUAGAAUUUAUGUUUGUCCAUGGAGCCUUUGGUUAUGGAUUUUCACAACAGUUAAAACCUCUUCAAAGAAAUAUUGAGCCUACAAUGUUUCUGAAUGUUGCAUCACAUCCAAAAAGAAAACAUCUCCCAAAAAAUCAACAGCCUCUUGAGAAAUCAGAAAUCACACCACAGCCUGUUCCUGUUGAGAGUUCAGCUGAUGGACAACACCCAAACCAGCAACCUAUAGUACAACUUGGAAACACCCGGGAAAGGUGAAAAGCACAA
This 330-nucleotide long non-coding RNA is filed under the name Fukomys damarensis (Damara mole-rat). Its description in RNAcentral is "lncRNA (ENSFDAG00000022812.1)". The record is from RNAcentral. Lineage: Eukaryota; Metazoa; Chordata; Mammalia; Rodentia; Bathyergidae.